RNAcentral lists this microRNA precursor (52 nucleotides) under Otolemur garnettii (small-eared galago). RNAcentral's name for it is "mir-1302 microRNA precursor family". The record is from Rfam by way of RNAcentral. Lineage: Eukaryota; Metazoa; Chordata; Mammalia; Primates; Galagidae.
UUUUGGGUAUAAAUAUGUCCCAUGCAAUAUUUGGGACAUACUCAUACAAAAA